RNAcentral lists this ribosomal RNA (201 nucleotides) under uncultured bacterium. RNAcentral's name for it is "partial 16S ribosomal RNA". It matches the Rfam family "Bacterial small subunit ribosomal RNA", at positions 1302 to 1500 of the family's 1533-position model. The record is from RNAcentral.
AGGCUGCAACUCGCCUGCAUGAAGUUGGAAUUGCUAGUAAUCGCGAAUCAGAAUGUCGCGGUGAAUACGUUCCCGGGCCCUUGUACACACCGCCCGUCACACCAUGAGAGUCGAUAACACCCGAAGCCUGUGAGCUAACCUUUUAGGAGGCAGCAGUCGAAGGUGGGGUUGAUGAUUGGGGUGAAGUCGUAACAAGGUAUC